UUUUAUUCACAUUUGUUGAAAGUUGACCAACCACCUUAUUAAACAAAGCUCUCUCUCUCUCUCUAUAUCUAUCUAUAUAUAUACACCUAGCUAGCUAGGUAGUUAUUAAAAGGAGGGAAAUAAUUAAUGGAAUUGGGAAACAAUUACAAGAAGUCGUAUGGAACAUCGAUCAUGGGCGGAUGAAUGGGACUCCCAGCCGGAAUAUCACGCGCAUGCACCUCAAUCAUCUUCCAAGAAGAAGAAGAGUAGUAGUUCUAGUAGUGGCACAUCAUCAGGCAUGGCUUCCAAAUAUGGAAGGAUAGUUGGAGAUGGAUUUGGGAAGACUAAAUCAUUGGCUUCAAAAGGUGCCAAGAAAAUCAAAGGAGCCACCUCCCUUGCCCUUCAAUGGAUCAAACAAAAGUAUCACAAGUAGAAGUUUUGAAAAGAUUGCGUCAAUUGAAUACAUAUGUAUGUAUACUUGUUAAGAAUGCAAAUCUUAAAAGUUAAAUGAUAUAAAUAUAUAAUCGAUGUUAGCUUGCUAGCUAGCUUCUUUUCUUAAUUUAUAGCUCUUGAUAUUGUGUUAGUGUUUCUUAAUUAUCCUUUUGUAAAUUUUACUUAGUAGACUUAAUUCCACGAUUUUGUACAAGUCCGCUCGUGACUCCUACUUAUAAUUUGAUCAUCUUCCUAUUCCAUCAACUAGCAACUGCCAACUAGCUAGCUCAUCUGACAUCUCAAUUAGGCUGCAUGUUUGUGCGGCAUAUAUGUCAACCCUGAAUUAAGUUUUGAA
RNAcentral lists this long non-coding RNA (766 nucleotides) under Panax ginseng (ginseng). RNAcentral describes it as "long non-coding RNA (PGIN_LNC009792)". Lineage: Eukaryota; Viridiplantae; Streptophyta; Magnoliopsida; Apiales; Araliaceae. The record is from RNAcentral.